AUCCUGGUGUCUUUGCUAGUUUGGAACGACACCAACCCAUCCCGAACUUGGUUGUGAAACAAGCUAGGAGCGACAAUACUGAAGGGGUUGCCCUUUGGGAAGAUAGUUUGAUGCCAGGAU
This 120-nucleotide ribosomal RNA is filed under the name Neglectella solitaria. Lineage: Eukaryota; Viridiplantae; Chlorophyta; Trebouxiophyceae; Chlorellales; Oocystaceae. The record is from RNAcentral.